Long non-coding RNA from Asparagus officinalis (garden asparagus), 610 nucleotides. RefSeq lists it as uncharacterized. The transcript has 3 exons. NCBI's taxonomy places the organism in Eukaryota, Viridiplantae, Streptophyta, Magnoliopsida, Asparagales, Asparagaceae. The record is from RefSeq and is a predicted model, not a curated record.
UAUACGCAUAUAAAUAUCCAGCGUGAGAUCGCCGCCGCCGCCUCCACAGAUUUCCACUCCGUCAACUUCGACGGCGGAGAUCGUGGGGCCAACAUCAAUUUUUCAAGUCGGGGAGCCUAGCCGCAAACGGCGUCGAUAGUCAUCGGCUCAACAGAAGGAAGUGGAGAGCGACGCGGAGCUAGGGUUUUUCUUUGACGCAUUUUGUCGAACACUUGGUGGGUUUGUACGAGGGAGUGCGAGAUAUCGGUUUCAGAUCGUGAUUUGUGCUCUGCUUUCCACGGGACUUCCAUUUGGCGAGGGGAACAUGAACAGGACAUCAUGUGCCACUAUGUUGAGUCAUCUCGGGAAAUGCGGUCCAGUACAAGGAGGUAAAAAGUAGGUGAAGGUCUCUACUUAUAGUGCCGACACUAUGAUAUCUUCUAUCAUCAUGAGAAAGAUCUAUUCACAGGUACAAUGAAUCUCACCAGCUUACCUACAAUUAUACAAUCACAUGAGGAUGAAAAACAUUAUAUGAUUAGGGAGAAGAUGUUGAUAUUUGGUUACUAUUUCUCCUUCGGGUGACCUUAAAUUGGAAGUUUCCUAUUUUUCAAGGGCGAUGAUCUUUUUGUCA